This is a long non-coding RNA of Rhododendron vialii, 1571 nucleotides long. RefSeq lists it as uncharacterized. Lineage: Eukaryota; Viridiplantae; Streptophyta; Magnoliopsida; Ericales; Ericaceae. The record is from RefSeq and is a predicted model, not a curated record. The transcript has 4 exons.
CUCUCUCUCUCUCUCUCUCUCUGACGCAAUCUCAUGCCAUCUAUGGUCGCAAGUGUGGACUGUGAUUUUGUCACACCUUUCUCUCCUCCUCGCCCUCGACCUUCCGCCGCGCACCGAGCCCCACCUCCACAGCUUCCUCCAUGUGUCCGACGCCAUGCUAAGGGAGGCCGACGAGAUCGACAGGGAGAUUGAGCGGAACAAAAAGGUGGGCCCAUUGGCUGGAAGUUUUGGUUGCCGGACAUGCCGAUGAUGGUCGGGUCUAGGGUUCUGGAAGGGUAUCGGCCGCCGUGGCGAGUUGAGGGAGAGUGGGGCUAUUAUUUUUGGGAAGACUAAUUUGGAUGAUUUUAGGAUUGAGAGUAGUACAGAAGGUUCUGCAUACUAGGUAAAGAGUCUUCGAAAAAGAUUGUGAGGGAGUGCAGGAUUUGUCGAGAAGAAGAUGAAGAGCAUGAGAUGGGGGCUCCUUGUACCUGUAAUGGAACUCUAAAGACGGUUUUUUUCCUUCUUUUUUUUGCUAUUUGGUUAACAAAUUUGAUUAUGGGUCCUAUACCCUAGACGAGGACUGAUUUAAUUAUUUUUCUUGUCAAAGAAUAUAUAGUUUAGAAUGCUAUUUGGUUAACAAAUUUGAUUAUGGGUAAUAAGUUGAAUUAACGUAUUUAGUCUAUGGAGAUAUUUUUCCCCUAUGCACCGAUCCCCCUCCCCAAUUCUACUAGGAUAGAGUAGAUUAGGUUUAAUGAAUGACAAAAAAAAAAAGUAUUUAGUCUAUGGAGAUAUAUUUGUACCAGUGGUUUGAUGUUUGUCUGUUUUUUUGUUUUUUUAAGAAUGCCCUACUAGGUGAUUUUUAUUUUUCCUUUGGAUAUAGGCAUGUUUGGUUUCGAUAAGCUUUGUAUUUUUUUGGUUUACUUGCUAGAUAAUUGCUUUGUAUAGAUACUUUUUCAAAUGGGUUAGAAAAUAAGGGACUAAAUUUGAGCAUCAAUCAUCCUCUCAUGGGUUAGAGAUGUUCACCAAAAAUGAGUCUCCAAUGGAGCUUGAAUAUGAAAAUUUUGGGGAUUUCUCUGCGAAUUCGAUAUCUUAUUCGUGUUUAUUCGGAUUAGUGUAUUUUCCUUGAUAAUUUUGUGAUGGGUUGGGAUGUUUUGGUGCAUUCAUUACAGGGGGAAAUGCAAAAUUAGGGCACCCUAUUGGGAUGAGAUUUUUUAUUGUAGGCAUAGCCAUAAUGAAGCAAAGGUAACACAUUAGACACAGAUCCUGGACAUAGUUUGCAUGGGGAAGUACUUUUGCCAGAAAUGCAAAUUCUUCUACGAUGAUGCAAACAAAAGAAAGUUACGACUCAUGAAUAAGGAGAGACUGGGUAUGCACGGAAGUAGACGGAAUCAACAAAAUCCGUUAUUUUCUUUCACGGUACGGUUUGGGCAUUAUAAGAUUACAUUAUAAUUGUGACACUUAAAUAACAUUUGUGGUGGGAUUAAGAGCUGGAUGGGGUGCCCGUGAUGUGAAUCUUAAGCAAACAUUGACUACUAUUGUCUAUUUUGCCAAAUCAACGCAGGUUGCCAUGGAUCUCAUCCGUUUGAGCUUGG